Molecule: long non-coding RNA, 5180 nt
Filed under: Mus musculus (house mouse)
Lineage: Eukaryota; Metazoa; Chordata; Mammalia; Rodentia; Muridae
Description: predicted gene 53063 (Gm53063)
Source: RNAcentral
AUCGGAAGCUUCUGCCUCCUUUUCCAGCUGCAGCUUAUGGUGUGUCUCGCUCACUACAUUCAGGAUAUCUAGGACAGUGCCUACCUAGAGGAUGAGCCAAACUCGCCCCGCAGACAAGUGUGAUCAGCAAGAAUCCAGUACACGUGGGGCACUUGGAGUUUAACACCAGAACACGUAUGCUGCACACGAGAACCCUUUGGCAUUAGUGCUUUCUUGAGCAAGUCCAUGUUUGAGCCUGAGAAACUUCUCAGAGUCGGACCGAGGCUGGCAUGACUCCCCCUACUCACUGCUCACCCAAGAUGAAGAAGAAGCUCUCCUACUUCAGCAAUAAUCCUGUGUAGGCAGAAAAACUUUAAUUGUACAAGUAUUAUGUAAAUAUUGUAAGUAGCUCACUGAUGGGCCUUGAGAUGACACAUCCUUUGUAGAGAGGGAACAGCCGCCUUCUGCUUCGAGGAAAGAUGAAGUAGCAGAGAUGAGUUCCCCCCACCCCCCACCCCAGGCAGCCUAACUAUAAACCGUUUCCACACUACUUAAUAAACGUAAGGACGGCUAGUACUCCUUGAGAGGUAAGUGGUCAUGGGGAGUCAAGAGAGCACUCAAGUCUAGGUCCCUGAAAGUUCCACAAGAUGGCUAAUCUUCACUGUCAACCUGAUUACACUGGGGGCUACCAGGGAGAUUGAUGGAGUAAGACCCUGGGUGUGUCUGUGGGGGCUUAGCUGAGAGUUUAGCUAAGGCCAGAAGGUCGGCUCUGACCUUUCUGCAGGCUGCAGUCCUGGCUGAAGUAAAGGGGAAGGAAGGAAAGGCCAGGAUACAGGUCUUAGUCUCUCUCUCUCUCUCUCUCUCUCUCUCUCUCUCUUUCUCUCUCUCUUGUUUGUAUAUUUCUUUACCUCCCACCCACCCUUUCCUUUCUACAUUUUCCCAGCAUGCUGUGAUCUGACAUGGCAUGUGAUCCCAUGAAGAUGUACCAAACUCACUGAAGCACCAGGUUGCCCGUGAGAACAGCAGUCCUUGGAAAGGAAACCAAAGGCUGAAGGUCACAGCACUGGGUGCUCACUCACACAGGGCAGAGAGAAGUGCUGGCUUCCACAGAGCAGAGGGCGAGAGUCCACCCUUCCAAGUAUCUGGGGUGGGCCCUAAAGUUGCUAGUGCUCUUAACCUUGCCUGGGAAAGUUCAAAAAUCAACACACCAAAUAUAAAAUUAUCCUUACGGGAUGUAGCUGCUUGCCUGAACAGAGGUCAGAAAUAUUUAUAGAAACACAAGACCACUGAGCAUUCGAUAAGGAAAAGACACAAUGAGGCUUCCCAUGUAAAAGGGUUCAGAAAGAUAUGCACUGCAAUGAAGAGAAAAUGGAGUCGACUGAGAUUUAUGCAGAAAUCACUGCAGAACGUCAGGGAAACACCUGAAAUAUUCACUGGGACUGUUUCAUCUCUUGAGAUGCUGGAUAGGUGGCUGAGAUAGGAAGAGCCUCCUGCUGAGCCUUUGGAAGUGAUAAACUGGAAGGAUGGAGAGACUGGUGAGUUUACCGAGAUGGAGGAAGACACAGCAGCAGAAACCUUCCAAAGUAGAAGGGUCAGGGAAAGGGGAUGCCAACAGCACACGGUGCUCACCGAUCUGUGCGAUGGGGCGGGGCACAAGAGAUGUCUGAGAUCCAUAAACACCCAAACCUAUGAAAACCGCAAGGCACAAAAUCCAAGAAUUCGGUGAUGAAGGAACCUGGGAGGCACAUCAUUGUCAAAUUGUCCGAGACUAGGAGAAUUUUAGAUGUCAGAGGAAAAGCCUCUGCAUAGAAAAGACCAAAGACUCCCAUCCCAGGGCUUUUGUCUUAAUCUAAGGCUGUGAGCCACUUUGAUGUAUUUCUCUCCAAAACAUUUCCAAGGAAGCAACUCCUCCUGGCAGAAGGAACAGAGACUAUCGGAACCUAGGGUCAGUGUGACAGGGUUCUUAGGCCAAAGCUGCUCACUUUUGCCCUCCCCUCCCCCUCCUCAUUUUCAGAGCCUGACUUGCCUUUUUGGGGUUUUUUUUUUCGAGUGAACUUACUUGCCUUUUCAUUUUAACAUAUCUCAGGCCACCAGGGUAUAAAAUAAAAGUUUUAAAGAGGGGCGUUUGCGGAAAGAUUGUUUCUGGCAGGUGCAUGCUUAUGGUUUUUACACGGCCCCAUCCUUCCUCGUCAGACCUCACCUUCAAUGUUUUCGAUCACGGCAGCCAACUAAAGGCAGGAGGGCAUAACUGAGGAACUUAGCCCCUGUAGCCAUGAGAUGGGAAGGCCUCGGAGUCCAUCAGAACUACCCUCCUGUUGGUUCCUGUUUCACGAGCAAAGCAAUUCCAACCUGCUUAGCUGCCAUUAGGCACACAGUGACGCCUUUGGGCGAAUACAUUUCUAACAGGCAUGAUCACGAGAAACUAGACACAUGAAGCAUUGUCUUGAUUAAAUGUGUGCGCCACCACUGCCCGGCUGAAGCAUUGUCUUAAGGCUGCAGCACUGACCCUCCUUCCUUCACAGCCUCAGUGGCUCUUGGUGUCAGCUAACAGGAGCAUGGGCUGAGCAAUGUCACACCAAUUGCACACGGAGGACUGAGGCCCGAAAGCUUCACUUAGGGAGUGUGGGAGGAGAAAGCACCUGGUAAGAUGACCUCCCAAGACUCAAGAGUCUUCUCAUCUGUCCAAGAAACUGGGAAAGGUCGACUCCACCUGCAUCUCUCCUACUCCAAGAAGCAUGCAGCACACCUGUGCGCAAAAUGGAUGGACGAAUGGCUUCAUGAGUAAGAAGAACCCAGGAGUCAGUAGAAUUUCCCUCUAUUCCUGCUAACAUUCUUCCUUGGCUGGAAUGUGGGUGGGACAGAGGCCCUGACUGUGCAUCUCCGGGCCAGCUCUUGUACUCUAGUUUCUGCAGCUUCCUCUGGUUCUUGGCAAAGGUCACCAGACCCAAUAAGAAAUGAAAGGCCGUGGGGAGCUCCUUCCAUAAGGACAGUGACCUGUGAUGGCAGAUCUCUCUCACUGAGCUAGCUCUUUGUCAGCUCAUAGGUAGAAUGCAGCGGAUGGUACUUCAGACAGAACAAGUAGCUAUGGAAGUGGGGAUGUUGGCCUUUGGGGGAGACUGUUUUCAUAGAUCCAAGGCUAUAUCAGGAUACGUCUCCUGAUGUAGACCCUCUCACUACUCUUUGUCAGCUUAAAAGUUGGGUCUAAAGCUAUAGGUAUUACCAACAGGGCCUUAAGGAAUUUGCUAACAGCCCAAAUCCUGUUGAGUUUGCAGCAAAGAAGUCUCUGUUCUCCAGCCACAUCCACGAUGUCUACCCUGCUGUCUCUCCUUACAUUCUAUCAGAUGUCUUCCCAUCCUUUUACAGUUCAGGGCUUCUAGACAAUAGAACUAUCUGGGGGUUUCCAUCUUAAUCCUAGGCUGAGUGCUUCUCUGUGACUUUCACUCUGAUUUUCCAAAACUUCUUCCCUGGGGUUCCCAGUGCACAUUUCCAGUGCAGGGCUUGUCUUGGUACGGUGCAAUGUGCACAUAGAUCCCACAUGCCUUUUCUCUAGACUCCUUUUGUAGUCAGUGUGCUGUAUACUAUUUGUUUCUUAAGUAUGUGCUGAAUAAAUAAUGAUUAUUGAGUGAAUGAAGGAAUGAAUGAAGGAAUGAAUGAAUGAGAGGACCCUUGCUCUUACACUCCUAAAACUCGCAAGUGUAAGUCAAAGUUCUUAGGCAAGCUCAGAUACAAACUAAACCAACUUAGAAACUUGAAAUAAUUUAUGCAAAUCUCUUCUAAUACAGAAUUAGCCUGAACUCAAUGUUCUGAUUGCUCCCUGGCAGACGGUUCCUCUGAACUAUGCUCUAAGUGUUGAGGGGAGAGCAGAGUGAAGACGAUUUCAAAGAAUAGACAAUAUAUCUUUUUUUUUUUCUGCUGAAGCCACUUUAAGCAAAAGAGCCCAACUAGAAAGAUCUAUAAUUGUUCAUCUGAAAGUCAAGAGUCAUUGUGUAAGUAUUUUAUAGUGGCAAAGGAAAUAGGGAAAUGACACAUACAAAUGAGAGCCCAGAGCACAAAGGACAUCUUGCUUUCAGGAAGAUAUUGAAUUUUCCCUUGAAAUGAACAUUGGGUUUAUUUUCAAGUGUUCUAGACAUACAUCUGCAGAGGAAGCUGUCCUGUGACAGUGCUCUGUGGAAGCCAUCUUAGGCUUCUUGUCCUUACUGCUAACCAGUGAUCUGAGAUGGGACAUCUCACAGCCCAAGUUACGGCUGCCAAGGUCAGCAGCCCUGGUAUCUGAGGCACACAUAUCCAAGGCAGUCAAACACAAACCUGACAAAUCAUGGACAAAGCUGAAGUGACACACGCCUGCCAAUGGUUGUCUUCAUCAGCAACACCCUGAACCAAUCUGUACAGAUGCUCAGAGACAGGAGACUUGCUGUCUGCCCCUCUCACAUUAUAAGAGGGAGAUGCAUAGGAGAUGACUCCGAUGGCGUGAGAUGCUUGCUCUGAGCUGUAAUACUUAUUUGGAUGAACCAAUGAGAGAUCACAGAUUUGUGAGCAACUGCCCUGUGUGUGGAAAGCAAGAGAGGAGAAAGAACUGGAGUUACCUCAUGCUGCCUCUCAGAAAGGGAAUAGUAUUGGUACGCUGCACGAGAAGAAACUGAAAUCAUUUUUAGAGUGAGUUUGUCUACUUACCUACUUUUUCCAUCUAGAAAUGUUUGUAUUAGAUAAAAAAAAAUCCUUAAACAUAUUUGUUUUGAAGACCAAGGUAGGAUAGCUAUUUCUGUUUAAAUUUUAAAACAUUUAAAGACUUUUGAUUGUUUUUAUUUUAUGUGUGUGAGUAUUUUACCCUACGUGUGUGUAUAUGCACCAUAUGCAUGCCCGGAGCCCACAGAGACCAGAAGAAGGCAGCCAGUCUCCUGUUAGGAUCGAGAGUUCCCAUGUGAGUGGAACCCACACCAAGGUCUGCUGCCAGAGCAGCAACUACUCUUCGGCUUAAUGACAAGCCAUCUCUCCAGCCCCUCCUGAUUAGUUUUUAUCUGCUUGUCUGUUUCUUAUGCCAUCUAGGCUCUUCCUCCAUGCUGUAUCAGGGCUAGUUCAUUGGGCUUUGCACAUGGGCAAAUAAGGAGCAAGCUAUGGGAUGGUUCUACCUGCUGUGUAGGCUGGGAUGCUCAGCAUGGCACACUCUCCUCGCCUUCUGUUAGACAAUAAACUGGUACUGAGCA